AAAUUUUAAUGCCCGCUUUUUAAACAAACCAGUAGAACGUAUUGCAGCAAAAUUAAACAUUAAAAGUUGCAAAAUCAGAUGACAUUUUCUCCCAGCACCGGUGCAUUAGUUUGCUCUCAGGAAACUGUUCAAAAUAGAAUGGCUGACCGUAACUGUGCAUUUAUUGUUGUGGCGUACAUUAAUAGCAUCCAUUUGUCUGUUAUUCAGAGUCUCAGCACCUCUGUCGAUGCGGAGGUCACGGCCGCCACCGCCGACCCCGGCGAGGGCACCAGCGCGAGCGGGCCGCCGGCAAUGGACAUUGAGGAGAGCUGGCUCGUUAUCGACGAUGCAGUCGACCACCUGCUGCACCGCGCUGGCGAGCACGGAGCUGUGUUUCAGCUAUCCCCAGUACCCAUGGCCGCAAGUUCGAGCUGGCAUGCUCUACGUGGAGAAUGAGACGGUUGUCGAGUUCAAAGAGCUAUAACCUCGGCGGUCGACUUAAGUGACCAGCUGCCGGGACAGAGACUGACCGGCAGAGUUCUGUUGGUGCCUCAUGCUUUUCUCUGUUUGUUUCUGUUUUCUGUUCCGCAAGUUUUUGUCAUUAUAACUAGUUGCAGUUGAAUUAGCUUGUUGCAGUUCGUUUAUGUUUUGCUGCAGGGUGUCCCUUAACCGUAAAGAGACGUGAAACGUUGGAUGCUAAUGAAUGAGAUACAAGGCACUUUGAUGUUAAGCACAGGCAGAGCUUUGGAGUCGUAAAUGUAUCAGUUAACCAAACCAUUGAAAACUGUGUUUGCGUAUGACUAUUCGGAAACUGCGUCUUUCACAUGCCAUGGUUGCACGACCUUGCUAUAGAAUACGAAAUAACAUAAUCGCACAUAAGACUGUGAAAUAGAAAGCUGCUUGGUAUAAUAGUCUGCUCCUUAUGAUGGGUUCCUAUAGCUGGUGUCUUGCAACCAGCUAUGAUCAUUGAGCGUUACCGUCCAUAAUAGGUUGUCCAGCUUGCUUGUUCGUAUGUGCAUGAAAUACAGAUUUAACUUUGC
Amphibalanus amphitrite is the source of this 1019-nucleotide long non-coding RNA. RefSeq lists it as uncharacterized. Lineage: Eukaryota; Metazoa; Arthropoda; Thecostraca; Balanomorpha; Balanidae. The record is from RefSeq and is a predicted model, not a curated record. The transcript is spliced from 2 exons.